This 22-nucleotide microRNA is filed under the name Human alphaherpesvirus 2. RNAcentral describes it as "hsv2-miR-H2". Its record names the gene hsv2-miR-H2. Lineage: Duplodnaviria; Heunggongvirae; Peploviricota; Herviviricetes; Herpesvirales; Orthoherpesviridae. The record is from miRBase by way of RNAcentral.
UCUGAGCCUGGGUCAUGCGCGA